UGACAGACUUCGGCGUAAAGGGUGGUUAAUAAACUUUUCAAACUAAAGCCAAACGACUUCAGGGUGGUUUAAUACGUAUGAAGCACGGAGGCCCAACUACGAAAGUGGCUUUAAGAUUUAUGACCCCACGAAAGCUAGGGCA
Molecule: ribosomal RNA, 142 nt
Filed under: Eviota sp. D NH-2020
Lineage: Eukaryota; Metazoa; Chordata; Actinopteri; Gobiiformes; Gobiidae
Description: partial 12S ribosomal RNA
Source: RNAcentral